RNAcentral lists this ribosomal RNA (253 nucleotides) under uncultured bacterium. RNAcentral describes it as "partial 16S ribosomal RNA". It matches the Rfam family "Bacterial small subunit ribosomal RNA", at positions 524 to 776 of the family's 1533-position model. The record is from RNAcentral.
UACGUAGGGUGCAAGCGUUGUCCGGAAUUAUUGGACGUAAAGAGCUCGUAGGCGGUUUGUCGCGUCGGCUGUGAAAACCUGGGGCUUAACUCCGGGCCUGCAGCCGAUACGGGCAGACUAGAGUUCGGCAGGGGAGACUGGAAUUCCUGGUGUAGCGGUGAAAUGCGCAGAUAUCAGGAGGAACACCGGUGGCGAAGGCGGGUCUCUGGGCCGAUACUGACGCUGAGGAGCGAAAGCGUGGGGAGCAAACAGG